Molecule: ribosomal RNA, 645 nt
Filed under: uncultured Bauldia sp.
Lineage: Bacteria; Pseudomonadati; Pseudomonadota; Alphaproteobacteria; Hyphomicrobiales; Kaistiaceae
Description: bacterial SSU rRNA
Rfam family: Bacterial small subunit ribosomal RNA
Source: RNAcentral
AAACUCAAAUGAAUUGACGGGGGCCCGCACAAGCGGUGGAGCAUGUGGUUUAAUUCGACGCAACGCGAAGAACCUUACCAGGCCUUGUAUCCCGGUCGCGGCCCUUUGAAAGAGGGGCCUUCAGUUCGGCUGGACCGGUGACAGGUGCUGCAUGGCUGUCGUCAGCUCGUGUCGUGAGAUGUUGGGUUAAGUCCCGCAACGAGCGCAACCCUCGCCCUUAGUUGCCAUCAUUUAGUUGGGCACUCUAAGGGGACUGCCGGUGAUAAGCCGCGAGGAAGGUGGGGAUGACGUCAAGUCCUCAUGGCCCUUACGGCCUGGGCCACACACGUGCUACAAUGGCGGUGACAAUGGGCAGCAAACCCGCAAGGGGGCGCUAAUCUCAAAAAGCCGUCUCAGUUCGGAUUGGAGUCUGCAACUCGACUCCAUGAAGUUGGAAUCGCUAGUAAUCGUGGAUCAGCACGCCACGGUGAAUACGUUCCCGGGCCUUGUACACACCGCCCGUCACACCAUGGGAGUUGGGUUUACCCGAAGGUGGUGCGCUAACCUAGCAAUAGGAGGCAGCCAACCACGGUAGGCUCAGCGACUGGGGUGAAGUCGUAACAAGGUAGCCGUAGGGGAACCUGCGGCUGGAUCACCUCCUUUAUG